GGAAGGCGUGGGGGAAGCUCGGUAUAUCCCAGUGUCUGAGGGACACCAAUAAGCCAUCAUUUUCGCCAUGACUUUGAAGGUCAUACUAAUCCCUUGACUAAAGGACCAUGGAUACCCAUAUUGUACAAAGGUCUCGUCUUGAAUAAAAUCAUGCUCUUUCUAGAAGCAUAAUGGCACCUAUGUAUUUUCAAUCUAGCAGGCAGGAAAUAUGAAAUCAUAUGUUUAUAGAACAACUUUUACACAGGACUGGGGAAAAAAGGAGCCUGCUCCAUGGAUCUUGAGUAAAGAUCAGUCUGCAGAGAGCUUCCAUCCCCCAGAUGACUGUGGAGCUGAACUGAGUUAGCGGACUCCUCUUGAGGACAAUCAUGAUAGAUUUUAGAAUGACCCAGAAACUCCUUUAGCUUCGUGAUACUUAUAAGAAAAGGGACUACAUACAGUUGAAUUGGCCAUGAAGACAGAAGGAAUGGCCCAUCCAAUAGGCCUUCAGUGGAGUGACUCAAUCCUCUUGGGAUCUCUCUCUUUAAGAGAAGUGUAUGAGGAUGCUGUCUCUUGGACUCUCAGUAUAAAAUAUCCCUUUCACGCUGGCAAUCAUGGCAUCAAUCUGAAUAAGCCAGCUGGCAAAUGAGCUGCCUAGCCAACCCUGAUCCUAAACCUUCUUCCUGAGUGUAGGGAACCGAAGAGCAAUAGUGCUUCUGGAAGAUAAGAGCUACUAGAUCCUUCAACUGGUCUUCACUGGCAGCAGGGGAAGCUUUCUGUAUUUGUGCUCUUCUCAGAGAAAAUGAUCAUUGACAGAAAAAUGAACCCAUACCAUGCCUUGGCUCAACAGAGUUGCACCUGGAAGAAGUGUCCAGAUGGGGCAAAUGCUGAGAUGAAGAUGAACUGGCUAUUCCUCAGUCCCAGAAGGAUCCUCGUUCCAGAGCUCCAAUUCCGUGUGGCCAGCUGCUCAUGGCUUUGCAAACUGGAUCUACCACAGCCAGCGUUAACGAAGAGUCCAGAAGACAACUCAUUUUUCCUUCUGAAUUCAAGGUCUGCUACUUCGAAAUCGUCCUUGAACCCUCACGUGCCCUCACUUAAGUCUCCCGGCAUCCCCAGUGGCCAUGCCUUACAGACUCACGUCUCCACGGUCUAUCCUGCGGUCCCCUCGUCUCCAGUCUAACUGCUACUUUAGCACAGUUCAAGCCCUCAGCCUGGACCAGCAAUCUCCCAUCUCUAAUUCCUUCUGCACAUAGCUGCCAAUGAGAUAUUUCUGGAGACAUGUCUGAGCGUGUUACUGCCUCCCCUGGCUCACUUUUGCCUCCAGGACCAAAUGCAAGUCUCUGUUAGCGUUGGCACCUUCAUAAGUUGACGCCAACAUAUUUGUCUCGGCUUAUCAUAGCUGCAUUCUUUCCCUUCAUGGGACAUUCGGGGUCCAAGGAGCUUCUCAGCCCUUUUCAGGGCUGCUCCUCUUCAUACAUGCCAUUUACACAGCCCUUGACUCUCACCUGCUCCUGAGAAACUGUAGCCUAGGCAGCUGCCGCAGUCCAGCAAACCAUCCAAGCCGACGGGCUAAGCCAGGUUAAGGGUAGAGUUAUGGGGGCGUCUACGCCAAGCAUGUGCAGACUUAGCCCAGUGGAAUGGGAAGAUGAGAACAGUUUGUUCUAACAGCCAUGGAAGUGGCUCAAGCAGACCCUGAGGAGUACUUAGAGCUCGAUCAGACGCCAAAGAUGCCCCGGUGGAGCUGGGGAUCCGAGGUUACGUGUCCCUGGAACUGCCGCAGUCUUCAUCACUCCUUCCCUAUUCGCACAGGGUCUGCAGAGGACUUGAUGAAGUCACAGCUAGGGCCACCCUCCUGGACUCUAAACUCUAGCUAGGUGGCCCUGACUCCCUGACGAAGAAUUUGAGUUAGAAAAGCCGCCCCUGGAAAGCAAUAUCCCCACGUGAAUUUCACAAAUUGCCUUUCUUUACACGCCUAGCCCAAAUUAACGAUCUUCUGCCACUGAGAAGGACCCUGUAUCGCUAUCAAAGCUUCUCUCUUCAUCAUCACUGAAACCUGCACUUGUUAGCUUCACAGCUUUGUUUUAUUCCAAGAAUUCCCGGAGAAGAUGGAGCCUGUCCUGCAAAAAGUCCCAGAGACUUGGCAGCUGCAUUUCGGAAGUCUUCCUGUUUUCUCUAAAGUCCCCUCAAACAUUCAUGUCAUCACUGACGUCACUGGCCCAUUUGGGAGCGCGGAACGCAGUCUGCAACUUCUGGUGCGCUCUUUAGAGUGACGAUAUCAGCACCUUUCAAGCCCAGCUGCACAGCGUUGAUGUAGCUUCAGCCAGCUUGGUGUUGCUCAACCCCGACUCACUUGGGAGGAGAAAUGAUGGAUUUGGCCACGCAAAUGUGCUCCUUUUAACUCCGCUGGAAGCAAUACUCGAAGCACUAGAGAAGUCAGGUCGUGCUGUGGAAAUAAAGGGAUUGUCGUGUGAUUUGUUAACUCCCUU
Molecule: long non-coding RNA, 2462 nt
Organism: Monodelphis domestica (gray short-tailed opossum)
Lineage: Eukaryota; Metazoa; Chordata; Mammalia; Didelphimorphia; Didelphidae
Source: Ensembl